UACGUAGGGGGCGAGCGUUGUCCGGAAUCAUUGGGCGUAAAGAGCUCGUAGGCGGUUCAGUAAGUCGGCUGUGAAAUUCCGAGGCUCAACCUCGGAACUGCAGUCGAUACUAUUGUGACUAGAGUCCGGUAGAGGAGAAUGGAAUUCCCGGUGUAGCGGUGAAAUGCGCAGAUAUCGGGAGGAAUACCGGUGGCGAAGGCGGCAUCCUGGACCGGCAUUGACGCUGAGGAGCGAAAGCCAGGGGAGCAAACGGG
This 254-nucleotide ribosomal RNA is filed under the name uncultured bacterium. RNAcentral's name for it is "partial 16S ribosomal RNA". It matches the Rfam family "Bacterial small subunit ribosomal RNA", at positions 524 to 776 of the family's 1533-position model. The record is from RNAcentral.